GGAAGUUAAGAAACAGUUUCUUAACUUUUAACUAAAAAAACUAAGAACCGGUUCUUAAAUAAGGACUUUAAGAACCGGUUCUUAGCUUUUUUAGUUAAAAAUUAAGAAACAGUUUCUUAACUUCC
Molecule: non-coding RNA, 125 nt
Organism: Brassica napus (rape)
Lineage: Eukaryota; Viridiplantae; Streptophyta; Magnoliopsida; Brassicales; Brassicaceae
Source: Rfam